Potamilus streckersoni is the source of this 78-nucleotide non-coding RNA. Lineage: Eukaryota; Metazoa; Mollusca; Bivalvia; Unionida; Unionidae. The record is from the annotation of a GenBank genome assembly.
GACUGCUCCAGUGGCCUAAGUGGUUAAAGCAUCCACCUCAGAAGCAAAAGGUCAUGGGUUUGAACCCCUGCUGAGUCA